Molecule: ribosomal RNA, 348 nt
Filed under: Enterococcus faecium
Lineage: Bacteria; Bacillati; Bacillota; Bacilli; Lactobacillales; Enterococcaceae
Description: bacterial SSU rRNA
Rfam family: Bacterial small subunit ribosomal RNA
Source: RNAcentral
CUCCACCGGAAAAAGAGGAGUGGCGAACGGGUGAGUAACACGUGGGUAACCUGCCCAUCAGAAGGGGAUACACUUGGAAACAGGUGCUAAUACCGUAUAACAAUCAAAACCGCAUGGUUUUGAUUUGAAAGGCGCUUUCGGGUGUCGCUGAUGGAUGGACCCGCGGUGCAUUAGCUAGUUGGUGAGGUAACGGCUCACCAAGGCCACGAUGCAUAGCCGACCUGAGAGGGUGAUCGGCCACAUUGGGACUGAGACACGGCAAACUCCUACGGGAGGCAGCAGUAGGGAAUCUUCGGCAAUGGACGAAAGUCUGACCGAGCAACGCCGCGUGAGUGAAGAAGGUUUUCG